UACGGGGGGGGCAAGCGUUGUUCGGAAUUACUGGGCGUAAAGGGAUUGUAGGCGGCCAACUAAGUCAGACGUGAAAUCCCUCGGCUUAACCGGGGAACUGCAUCUGAUACUGGAUGGCUUGAGAUUGGGAGAGGGAUGCGGAAUUCCAGGUGUAGCGGUGAAAUGCGUAGAUAUCUGGAGGAACACCGGUGGCGAAGGCGGCAUCCUGGACCAACACUGACGCUGAGGAGCGAAAGCCAGGGGAGCAAACGGG
Molecule: ribosomal RNA, 253 nt
Filed under: uncultured bacterium
Lineage: Bacteria
Description: partial 16S ribosomal RNA
Rfam family: Bacterial small subunit ribosomal RNA
Source: RNAcentral